Caerostris extrusa is the source of this 81-nucleotide non-coding RNA. The record is from the annotation of a GenBank genome assembly. NCBI's taxonomy places the organism in Eukaryota, Metazoa, Arthropoda, Arachnida, Araneae, Araneidae.
ACGGCCAUACCAUGCUGAAUAUACCGGUUCUCGUUAGACCACCGAAGUCAAGCAUCAUUGAACGCGAUCAGUACUUGGGUG